RNAcentral lists this ribosomal RNA (486 nucleotides) under uncultured bacterium. RNAcentral describes it as "bacterial SSU rRNA". It matches the Rfam family "Bacterial small subunit ribosomal RNA", at positions 29 to 507 of the family's 1533-position model. The record is from RNAcentral.
AUUGAACGCUGGCGGAAUGCUUUACACAUGCAAGUCGAACGGCAGCACGGGGGCAACCCUGGUGGCGAGUGGCGAACGGGUGAGUAAUGUAUCGGAACGUACCCCGUCGUGGGGGAUAACUCUCCGAAAGGAGAGCUAAUACCGCAUACGACCUGAGGGUGAAAGCGGGGGACCUGCAAGGGCCUCGCGCGAUGGGAGCGGCCGAUAUCGGAUUAGCUAGUUGGUGAGGUAAAGGCUCACCAAGGCGACGAUCCGUAGCGGGUCUGAGAGGACGACCCGCCACACUGGAACUGAGACACGGUCCAGACUCCUACGGGAGGCAGCAGUGGGGAAUUUUGGACAAUGGGGGAAACCCUGAUCCAGCCAUUCCGCGUGAGUGAAGAAGGCCUUCGGGUUGUAAAGCUCUUUCAGCAGGAACGAAACGGUAGGCUUUAAUACAGUCUGCUAAUGACGGUACCUGCAGAAGAAGCACCGGCUAACUACGUG